This 498-nucleotide unclassified non-coding RNA is filed under the name Rhodotorula toruloides. Lineage: Eukaryota; Fungi; Basidiomycota; Microbotryomycetes; Sporidiobolales; Sporidiobolaceae. The record is from RNAcentral.
GCCCAUCCCGCCCUCCUUCUCCUGAUCAGGUAGUCGUCAACACGGCAUCCCAGGGCAUGAGACUACCUGGAGCGCGCGAGGGAACCCUCUGACCUCUGACCCUUGUCCGUCGAGACAACCCUCGCUCCCGCCUCGCCCUCGCCCUCCUGCGCCCGCUCGACCCCCUUCAGCUGAACCGACGCAGUAACACUCUCUCGACCGGGACCAGCGAGUCCCACCGACGAAGGGAAGGGGGGUGGGAGACUCGCUCGCGCGCCGCGCAUGCAUCCAGCUCGGGACGAAGCCGCUUCUUUCGGCUCGAGGUGCGCCUGACUGGCCUUUUCUGCUCGCUGCGACGGCGGCAACAUAGGGACUGGGUCGUCCAGCGGUGUGGGAGACGAGGCGAUUGCAUGCGUGCUCGAGGCGGUGCGGGGAGGGCGAGGAGGACGGCUCGCUCGCUGGGAGGUUCGCCGGACAGCUGUGGUGGUCUUGUGUGGUCUACACGGGCUCAUUGCACGC